Xiphophorus couchianus (Monterrey platyfish) is the source of this 478-nucleotide long non-coding RNA. RefSeq lists it as uncharacterized. The transcript has 3 exons. NCBI's taxonomy places the organism in Eukaryota, Metazoa, Chordata, Actinopteri, Cyprinodontiformes, Poeciliidae. The record is from RefSeq and is a predicted model, not a curated record.
UUUCUAAAUUCAUCAGCUGAAGCAACCUCCCUCAUCCAAAGCUGAAGAGGAGAAAAUGGCGUCGUGUGGAGAUGGUUGGGAUGGUACGCAGACGUUAAGUCGCCAUGGGUUGACGCUCUUGGUUGACCACGAUGAGGUUGUAUCGAGUCGAUUAUUGGUUUACCAACGCCAACAGAAAUCCAGUGAAGAGGAUUCGAACCUCGUCAGAUGUCCGAUUACACACCGUCACCAAAAAUGUCAUAAUUUCAGAACUGAUAACGGGACAUCUGAUGUACGCCAUAUUUUCCCAACGCCUUCAAGCUGCUCCCCCAACCCUCCAUUACCCUGUAACUAAGCUCUGAACGACGAAGAGCCGUGGAUGCAGAAUAUGCAGAGAACUUUUAAAAUGGCAACUUUUGGAGCGGGCGUCAUCCGACCAGCCCCGCUACAAAGAAGAGGAAUCAAACGCCAUCGAGAAGCUCAGCCACGCAGGACAGCA